Molecule: ribosomal RNA, 468 nt
Filed under: uncultured bacterium
Lineage: Bacteria
Description: partial 16S ribosomal RNA
Rfam family: Bacterial small subunit ribosomal RNA
Source: RNAcentral
GAUGAACGCUGGCGGCGUGCUUAACACAUGCAAGUCGAACGGAAAGGCCCUGAUUUUGUGGGGUGCUCGAGUGGCGAACGCGUGAGUAAAACGUGUGUAACCUGCCCUUAUCUUUGGGGUAACAUCAGGUAACUGGGGCUAAUAUCGGAUAGGAUAUCCUGCUGCGUGGGGGGGGUUGGAAAGUUUCGGCGGUUGGGGAUGGACUCGCGGCUUAUCAGCUUGUUGGUGGGGUAGUGGAUUACCAAGGCUUAGAAGGAUAGCCGGCCUGGGAGCUUGACCGGCCUCAAGGGUCCUACGGUAGGGAGCAGACGGGUAUGUGAGGCAAUAGUGGGGAGUAUUGCACAAUGAGCCGGAGCCGGAGACAGCAGCGCUGCGUUCGGAAUGACGUCUUUCGGGGUGUAAACCGCUUUCGCCUGUGACGAAGCGGUAUUGACGGUAAUGGGUAAAGAAGCACCGGCUAACUACGUG